RNA transcript from Trifolium pratense (red clover), 1847 nucleotides. It is a transcript of the gene named protein FATTY ACID EXPORT 3, chloroplastic-like, with no coding region annotated. The transcript is spliced from 6 exons. The record is from RefSeq and is a predicted model, not a curated record. Lineage: Eukaryota; Viridiplantae; Streptophyta; Magnoliopsida; Fabales; Fabaceae.
CAAACCUGCUCUGAAUUUUCGGAACAACCUAGUCCUUUCAUCAUAUCAUAUAUAUAUAAAAUAAAAUCACAUUAUUUCAUUUCAUUUCAUAAACCCUUUUUCUUUUGAUUAUUUCUUCUUACUUUGAUUCCUACUCAUUCAUUCAACACUUUCCUUCUACCCUCAUCAAAAUAUUCUCGUUACCUUCGCCCUCUUCAAAUGGCCUCCAUCAAUUUCACAAUCGAUUCAGUUUCUGUGUUAAACCCUAAACUCAAUCAUCAUAAUACUCGUCUAUCUCUUCCUCAUUCUUCAACCUUUCACCCUUUACUCAAACACAACCGCACUUUCAAACUCUCCCUUCACUCCAUUCCUUUCAAUCAACGGAAACCGUUAACCGUCACUUUCGCUGCUCCUCAACAUGACUCUGAUCAUGGUGAAGUUGAAGUGGAGAAGGGGAAUGAUGUUGGUUCAGAGGAGGAAUCACAAGAAGCGUGGAAGCAGGCUUUGGAUACAUUCAAGGAACAAGCUUUGAAGGUUCAAGGGGUUUCUCAGGAGGCUUAUGAAGUGUAUUCUAAGAAGGCCGUUGUCAUUUUGAAGGAUACUGCAGAUCAGUUGAAGAUACAUGCUGAUAAGGCGAAACAAGAUUUGAGUGUUGUGGCAAAGGAAAUUACUGAAGAAGGAAAAGAGUAUUUUUCUUCUGCUACCGAGAAUUCACCUGAUGUGAAGGAAAUUGUGGAGACUUUUACCUCCCCUGAUGAUGAUCUCAGCAAUGUUUCUGGAGUUCGGGACUUUUAUGUUGGUAUACCCUAUGGUUUGGUACUCUCUCUGGGUGGAUUCCUUUCCUUUAUGAUAACCGGAAGCAUUGCAGCAAUAAGGUUUGGGGUGAUUUUAGGCGGUGUCCUAUUGGCUUUAAGCAUUUCAAGCCUGAAAUCAUAUAAGAAAGGACAGCCCUCUUCUCUAGGUUUGAAAGGAGGCCAAACAGUAAUAGCAGGUAUCUUGUUUCUGCGUGAGAUCAUCUCAGUUGGCAGAGGAUCAACCUAUUUCACUGCCUUGAUCAGGUUCUUGAAACUUUAUUAUUUUACUUACAUAUAUCUUCAUUUUAGAGACUCUAGCAUUUUUCGUUAUCCCACGCCGCUCUUUACCGAUAAUGUCAACCACUUGCUGCUGUUUCAUGUUUAAGUAAAACUUCAGCGAUAUUGAAUUGAAAUCAGUUUAAUUAGAGUUACAAAUGGCGGUGUCCUGACAUUGCAUGUGGGCCGACAAAUAAUUGCUAAUUGGAAAUUAAGAAUGUUGGAAAAUUGCAAAAGACUAAACAGAAAACUCUGCUAGCAUAUUAUGUUUCUAUUUAACCUGCAGAAAUUCAGAUCGAAAAUUGAAUGUCAUUUGGCUCAUUCUUUUGUCCAAUUCUUUGAUCUUUCACAAUAAUUAAUAUUUUGCUGUAUAAUAACAUUGUUUAGCAUUUGCAGUGGUGCGGUAGUGGCAUUUUACGUCUAUAGACUGGUUUUGGAGGGUAAAACACAAAAAGGUUCAAACUUGGAAGGUGAAGCAGGAAACUAGUUCAUUGAUAAGUAUCAAGUGGAAGAUCCGUGUGAUGAUUGGAUAAAAACUGAAGAUCUGCAUGAAGACCUUCAUUUGUUGUCAGGCAGAAUAGGCAAAUAUCUUGUCAAUAUGUAGCAGAAUCGGUCAUCCUAGAAACGACAUAUAGUCGAUUUACUUUUGCGAACGCAUGCAAUUUUUUUUUUUUUUGAGUUGGAUGUCAUAAAAAAUUGUGAAUCUCAAAUUAUUGAUCUUUGGUCAUAUGUGGAAGAAUUGAGUAUGGUUGUUAAGAUUUAGAUUUGGUUUGUUAAUGCUAUAUUUUUAGCUGAAAA